GGGGUGACUGCUUCCUGCUUAGGGCCAUCCAGAACCGCAUCGGGGCCCCCUGUGGUGCUGUGAUGAAACUCUUGGCCGGAGACCUUGUAUUUGAGCACGUGACCCUCUGCCUGGGAUCUCAUAUUCCGGUCAUGAGGUUGGGAUUCCACAAGGCCAAGAUGUCAGCACUAAGCCCCCAACAAAAUGUGCUUGGCUCCAAAGCUAAGAAGUGGAAGCCUUCCUGUCAUAUCCCUGCCUUCGACCCAGAGUCCCGGAUGCGGGUGGCAUUCAGCAGUGGAUUUUUUAAGUGCAACCCGACAGUCAUCUGAAAGACACAUAUUCCUCCUCUCCCGCCAGCCCCCAAGUCCGCGACUAAAACAUGACAACCAAACCAGAUCUCGUGGGUGCCUUCAACAUCACACCUCUUCGGGUUCUUUUGCAACAUUUCCAGAGAUGCCUGAGCAGAAAUGUGAAUGGGAUUGCACGCCAUCUGGUGGACAUUGGUUCCCAAGUCCUCAGAAUCAAGUUAAGGAACCUGAGGAUCAGAGCCUAAAACUCGGGAAGCCCAUUGUGGUGAGACCACCAGGAUGUGUCCUCUGAGCCCAGCCAGUGAGCUCCCUGGGGAAUGGCCGUCUCACUGCAGUCACCAUCAGUCCCAAGAGUGUGAGUGUUCAGGAUCUGGGCUCUCUGCAGGCCAACCAGUCUUGGCCGGGGGCACUCAUCCAACAGAUGUUUAAUUGAAUUCCUUCCAUGAGCCAGAUUAGGGCCUUAACAUGCACUGUCUUUCUUAAUUUCACGUUGAUCUUACAG
Molecule: long non-coding RNA, 789 nt
Filed under: Heterocephalus glaber (naked mole-rat)
Lineage: Eukaryota; Metazoa; Chordata; Mammalia; Rodentia; Bathyergidae
Description: lncRNA (ENSHGLG00000041063.1)
Source: RNAcentral